GAUGAACGCUGGCGGCGUGCCUAAUACAUGCAAGUCGAACGCUUCACUUCGGUGAAGAGUGGCGAACGGGUGAGUAAUACAUAAGUAACCUGGCAUCUACAGGGGGAUAACUGAUGGAAACGUCAGCUAAGACCGCAUAGGUGUAGAGAUCGCAUGAACUCUAUAUGAAAAGUGCUACGGGACUGGUAGAUGAUGGACUUAUGGCGCAUUAGCUUGUUGGUAGGGUAACGGCCUACCAAGGCGACGAUGCGUAGCCGACCUGAGAGGGUGACCGGCCACAUUGGGACUGGGAACCGGCCCAGACUCCAAGGGGAGGAAGCAGUAGGAAAUUUUCGGCAAUGGGGGAAACCCUGACCGAGCAACGCGGCGGGAAGGAAGAAGUAUUUCGUUAGGUAAACUCCUGUAAUAGAGGAAGAACGGUGGAAAUAGGGAAUGUUAUCCAGGUAACGGUACUCUAUAGAAAGCCACGGCUAACUACGUG
Molecule: ribosomal RNA, 481 nt
Filed under: uncultured bacterium
Lineage: Bacteria
Description: partial 16S ribosomal RNA
Rfam family: Bacterial small subunit ribosomal RNA
Source: RNAcentral